Molecule: long non-coding RNA, 570 nt
Organism: Artibeus jamaicensis (Jamaican fruit-eating bat)
Lineage: Eukaryota; Metazoa; Chordata; Mammalia; Chiroptera; Phyllostomidae
Exons: 3
Source: RefSeq, a predicted model, not a curated record
CAACAGCAAGCCCUGAAUAACUCGCCUUUGCUUUUCUCAUCUGGUUGGCUUUCAUUUUUUUCCACAAGAGGGAGCCAGAAAGGCCCGCGGUUUGCUGGUGUGAAAUGCAACUGGAAAUCCGUAUCAGAAAAUUAGAGAAACAAACAUCAGUGUUUCGCAGACGGGAAAAUGUCACAGUCAGGCUGAACUGCAGGAAAGACACCCAUGAAGUGGCGUGAGUUUUCUUUCUCGGCGGCAGAAGACAGACUUCCCGAAAUGGCCACUAGGUGGCGCUGCGGGCCUCGUCUUCAUCUCCUCCUCAGAUGAACAAAGUUCUCAAAAAGGAAAACAUUUCGCCGAUGUGGAAGCAUGGAAACAAAAAACGGCAGCAGGACUAACAGGCCUCCAAACCGGCAUGUUCAAACCUGUUCCGAGCAGUGGAAAAAAGUGUCCGCAGGUGUAGUGCUUUGAAUGGAGGGUCUUUUGAAGGGGACUGAAGUUUAGACAUGUAAGAAUAAACACAUAAUUUUUAAUAAAUAAAUUUUGUUUUUGCGGGGAGGGAGUGGUUGACCCCUGUAAACAAAUAUCCCA